Molecule: ribosomal RNA, 232 nt
Filed under: uncultured bacterium
Lineage: Bacteria
Description: partial 16S ribosomal RNA
Rfam family: Bacterial small subunit ribosomal RNA
Source: RNAcentral
CGGACGGGUGAGUAAUGUCUGGGAAACUGCCCGAUGGAGGGGGAUAACUACUGGAAACGGUAGCUAAUACCGCAUAACGUCGCAAGACCAAAGAGGGGGACCUCCGGGCCUCUUGCCAUCGGAUGUGCCCAGAUGGGAUUAGCUAGUAGGUGGGGUAACGGCUCACCUAGGCGACGAUCCCUAGCUGGUCUGAGAGGAUGACCAGCCACACUGGAACUGAGACACGGUCCAG